AGGAUAAACGCUGGCGGCGUGCCUAACACAUGCAAGUCGAACGCGCUUGCUAUCCGCGAGGACGGUGAGCGAGUGGCGGACGGGUGAGGAACACGUGGGUGACCUACCUUUCAGUGAGGGAUACCGGCGAGAAAUUGCCGACAAGACCGCAUACGCUUCUCUUUUCAAGGGGAGAAGGAAAGCUUUUCGCAAGAGAGGCGCUGGGAGAUGGGCCUGCGGCCGAUUAGCUAGCUGGUGGGGUAAUGGCCUACCAGGGCGACGAUCGGUAGCUGGUCUGAGAGGACGAUCAGCCACACUGGGAUUGAGAACGGCCCAGACUCCUACGGGGGGCAGCAGUGAGGAAUUUUCGGCAAUGGGGGCAACCCUGACCGAGCAACGCCGCGUGCAGGACGACGGCCUUCGGUUGUAAACUGCUUUCUCUGGGACGAGCAAGGACGGUACCAGAGGAAGAAGCCCCGGACUAACUACGCGCCAGCAGCCGCGGU
This 485-nucleotide ribosomal RNA is filed under the name uncultured bacterium. RNAcentral describes it as "SSU rRNA". It matches the Rfam family "Bacterial small subunit ribosomal RNA", at positions 26 to 521 of the family's 1533-position model. The record is from RNAcentral.